This 418-nucleotide ribosomal RNA is filed under the name uncultured bacterium. Its description in RNAcentral is "bacterial LSU rRNA". It matches the Rfam family "Bacterial large subunit ribosomal RNA", at positions 39 to 499 of the family's 2925-position model. The record is from RNAcentral.
AUUACAGGCGACGAAGGACGUGAUAGCCUGCGAUAAGCUUCGGGGAGCUGGCAAAUUAGCUUUGAUCCGGAGAUUUCCGAAUGGGGAAACCCACCCUUAGGGGUAUCGCAUGACGAAUACAUAGUCAGGCGAAGCAAACCGGGCGAACUGAAACAUCUCAGUAGCUCGAGGAAAAGACAUCAACCGAGAUUCCGAAAGUAGUGGCGAGCGAAAUCGGAUCAGCCUUGUACGUUUUAGCGCUUUAUAUAUCAGAACGGAAUGGAAAGUCCGGCCAUAGCGGGUGAUAGCCCCGUAUGAAAAAUGUGAGGCGUGGAACUAGGCGUACGACAAGUAGGGCGGGACACGUGUAAUCCUGUCUGAAUAUGGGGGGACCAUCCUCCAAGGCUAAAUACUCGUAAUCGACCGAUAGUGAACUAGU